UUGGAGGGCAAGUCUGGUGCCAGCAGCCGCGGUAAUCCCAGCUCCAAUAGCGUAUAUUAAAGUUGUUGCAGUUAAAAAGCUCGUAGUUGAAUUUCGGGGUUCUACCGUUGGUCGGGCUAUUGUCUGUACUGGCGUGUAGAAUUUCUACCUUCUGGGGAACUAUCAUGUUAUUAAUUUAGCGUGGUAGGAAACCAGGACCUUUACCUUGAAAAAAUUAGAGUGUUCAAAGCAGGCUUAUGUCUGAAUACAUUAGCAUGGAAUAAUAAAAUAGGACGGUGGUCCUGUUUUGUUGGUUUCUGAAUCACCGUAAUGAUUAAUAGGGAUAGUUGGGGGCAUUAGUAUUCAAUUGUCAGAGGUGAAAUUCUUGGAUUUAUUGAAGACUAACUACUGCGAAAGCAUUUGCCAAGGAUGUUUUCAUUAAUCAAGAACGAAAGUUAGGGGAUCGAAGACGAUCAGAUACCGUCGUAGUCUUAACCAUAAACUAUGCCGACUAGGGAUCGGACGAUGUUAACUUUUCUUGACUCGUUCGGCGCCUUACGGGAAA
Molecule: ribosomal RNA, 544 nt
Filed under: uncultured Glomeromycotina
Lineage: Eukaryota; Fungi; Glomeromycota
Description: SSU rRNA
Rfam family: Eukaryotic small subunit ribosomal RNA
Source: RNAcentral